RNAcentral lists this ribosomal RNA (2907 nucleotides) under Picochlorum sp. 'soloecismus'. Its description in RNAcentral is "bacterial LSU rRNA". It matches the Rfam family "Bacterial large subunit ribosomal RNA". Lineage: Eukaryota; Viridiplantae; Chlorophyta; Trebouxiophyceae. The record is from RNAcentral.
CAAAUGACAUAAAGCGUAGGGCGGAUACCUAGGCACCUAGAGACGAUGAAGGGCGUGGAACCGACGAUACGCUUCGGGGAGUUGGAAACAAACAUUGAUCCGAAGAUUCCCGAAUGGGGCAACCCUAUAAACUUCUUACUGAAUUCAUAGGUAAGAAAGAGAAAACUUAGUGAACUGAAACAUCUUAGUAGCUAAAGGAAGAGAAAGCAAACGCGAUUCCCUGAGUAGUGGCGAGCGAAAUGGGAACAGCCUAAACCAAUAUUUUUAUAUUGGGGUUGUGGGAAAACAUACUAUAUUUAUAUAUAUUUGAAAUUAUUUAGACGAAAUAGCUGAAUCCUAUACCAAAGAAGGUAAAAGUCCUGUAGUUAAAAAAUAAUAAAAAAUAUGAACAUAUGUUCAAUAUGUUUAUCCCGAGUAGCAUGGGACACGAGAAAUCCCGUGUGAAUCAACGAGGACCACCUCGUAAGGCUAAAUACUCCUAGGUGACCGAUAGUGAAGUAGUACCGUGAGGGAAAGAUGAAAAGAACCCCUGUAGGGGAGUGAAAUAGAACAUGAAACCCUACGCUGACAAACAGUGGGAGGUACUUUAGUACUGACCGCGUACCUGUUGAAGAAUGGGCCGGCGACUUAGAAAAAGUGGCAAGGUUAAAGACUAAAAUCUGGAGCCUAAGCGAAAGCAAGUCUGAAUAGGGCAUUAUAAAGUCACUUUUUCUAGACCCGAACCCGGGUGAUCUAACCAUGACCAGGAUGAAGCUUGGGUAAUACCACGUGAAGGUCCGAACCGACCGAUGUUGAAAAAUCGGCGGAUGAGUUGUGGUUAGCGGUGAAAUACCAGUCGAACUCGGAGCUAGCUGGUUCUCCCCGAAAUGCGUUGAGGCGCAGCGGUCAGCAAGACUAUCUAGGGGUAAAGCACUGUUUCGGUGCGGGCGGCGAAAGCUGUACCAAAUCGUGGCAAACUCUGAAUACUAGAUAUGUUAUUUUCUGGCCAGUGAGACAGUGGGGGAUAAGCUUCAUUGUCAAGAGGGAAACAGCCCAGAUCACUAGCUAAGGCCCCUAAAUGAUCGUUAAGUGGCAAAGGAGGUGAGAAUGCUCAGACAACCAGAAGGUUUGCUUAGAAGCAGCAACCCUUUAAAGAGUGCGUAACAGCUCACUGGUUAAGCGUUCUUGCGCCGAAAAUGUCCGGGACUAAAUGAUCUGCCGAAGCUGUGGGAUAUUCUAAUGAAUAUCGGUAGGGGAGCGUUCUGCUCUAGGGUGAAGCAAAUAUGUAAGUAUUUGUGGACGAAGCAGAAGUGAGAAUGUCGGCUUGAGUAACGUAAACAUUGGUGAGAAUCCAAUGCCCCGAAAACCUAAGGAUUCCUCCACUAGGUUCGUCCAUGGAGGGUGAGUCAGGACCUAAGGCGAGGCUGAAAAGCGUAGUCGAUGGCAAACAGGUUAAUAUUCCUGUACUAUUUUAUAUUUGAUACCAAGGGACGAAGCAGGUAGAGAUUUGCUGUUAUUGGAUUUCAGUGUAAGUUAUCAAGGCGUUGAAAGGUAGAAGAAAAACUAUCCUUGAGCUAAGAAAUGAUGCGUAUUUACUUUAAAAGUAAAUAUUUAUUAUCUAUCAUACUUCCAAGAAAAGCUUGAACUAUCGUUAAGUAUAAAAUACCUGUACCGUAAACCGACACAGGUAGGUUAGUAGAGUAUACUAAGGGGCGCGAGAUAACUCUCUCUAAGGAACUCGGCAAAAUGACCCCGUAACUUCGGGAGAAGGGGUGCCCUCUCUAAAAGAGGGCCGCAGUGACCAGGCCCAGGCGACUGUUUAUCAAAAACAUAGGUCUCCGCAAAGUCGUAAGACAACAUAUGGGGGCUGACGCCUGCCCAGUGCCGGAAGGUUAAGGAAGUAGGUUAGGAUUUAUCCGAAGCUUACGACUGAAGCCCCGGUGAACGGCGGCCGUAACUAUAACGGUCCUAAGGUAGCGAAAUUCCUUGUCGGGUAAGUUCCGACCCGCACGAAAGGCGUAACGAUCUGGGCACUGUCUCGGAGAGAGACUCGGUGAAAUAGACAUGUCUGUGAAGAUGCGGACUACCUACACUUGGACAGAAAGACCCUAUGAAGCUUGACUGUAGCUUGGAAUUGGGUUCGGGCUUUUUUUGCGCAGACUAGGUGGGAGGCUAUGAAGAAAUAUUUUUGGGUAUUUUGGAGCCAUCAGUGAGAGACCACUCUGAAGAAGCUAGAAUUCUAAUGGCGUUCCUUGAAGCAGGACGCUUGACAGUUUCAGGUGGGCAGUUUGACUGGGGCGGUCACCUCCUAAAAGGUAACGGAGGUGUGCAAAGGUUCCCUCAGGCUGGACGGAAAUCAGCCGUAGAGUGUAAAGGCAAAAGGGAGCUUGACUGCAAGACCUACAAGUCGAGCAGGGGCGAAAGCCGGCCUUAGUGAUCCGACGGUUCCGUGUGGAAGGGCCGUCGCUAAACGGAUAAAAGUUACUCUAGGGAUAACAGGCUGAUCUUCCCCAAGAGUUCACAUCGACGGGAAGGUUUGGCACCUCGAUGUCGGCUCAUCGCAACCUGGGGCGGUAGUACGUCCCAAGGGUUGGGCUGUUCGCCCAUGAAAGCGGUACGUGAGCUGGGUUCAGAACGUCGUGAGACAGUUCGGUCCAUAUCCGGUGUAGGCGCUGGAGCAUUGAGAGGAGUCUUCCAUAGUACGAGAGGACCUGGAAGAACACACCUCUGGUAUACCAGUUCUCACGCCAGUGGGAAACGCUGGGUAGCCAAGUGUGGAGUGGAUAACCGCUGAAAGCAUCUAAGUGGGAAGCCCACCUCAAGAUGAGUGCUCCCUAUGAGGUCACGGCAAGACUAGCCGGUUGAUAGGCAGUAGGUGUAAGUCUAGCAAUAGAUGUAGCUGAGCUGUACUAAUAGACCCAUUGAUUU